ACGGAAGGCAGCAGUGGGGAAUCUUGCGCAAUGCGCGAAAGCGUGACGCAGCAACGCCGCGUGGGGGAAGAAGGCCUUCGGGUUGUAAACCCCUUUCAGGAGGGACGAAGCCCGGGCGGUGAAUAGCCGACCUGGGUGACGGUACCUCCAGAAGAAGCCCCGGCUAACUACGUGCCAGCAGCCGCGGUAAUACGUAGGGGGCAAGCGUUGUCCGGAAUCAUUGGGCGUAAAGCGCGUGUAGGCGGUCCGGUAAGUCCGCUGUGAAAGUCGGGGGCUCAACCCUCGGAUGCCGGUGGAUACUGUCGGGCUUGAGUACGGAAGAGGCGAGUGGAAUUCCUGGUGUAGCGGUGAAAUGCGCAGAUAUCAGGAGGAACACCAAUUGCGAAGGCAGCUCGCUGGGACGUUACUGACGCUGAGACGCGAAAGCGUGGGGAGCAAACAGGAUUAGAUACCCUGGUA
RNAcentral lists this ribosomal RNA (459 nucleotides) under uncultured Solirubrobacter sp. RNAcentral describes it as "bacterial SSU rRNA". It matches the Rfam family "Bacterial small subunit ribosomal RNA", at positions 341 to 792 of the family's 1533-position model. The record is from RNAcentral. Lineage: Bacteria; Bacillati; Actinomycetota; Thermoleophilia; Solirubrobacterales; Solirubrobacteraceae.